CCUACGGGAGACAGCAGUGAGGAAUAUUGGUCAAUGGACGAGAGUCUGAACCAGCCAAGUAGCGUGAAGGAUGACUGCCCUAUGGGUUGUAAACUUCUUUUAUAAAGGAAUAAAACGAGGCACGUGUGCCUUUUUGCAUGUACUUUAUGAAUAAGGAUCGGCUAACUCCGUGCCAGCAGCCGCGGUAAUACGGAGGAUCCGAGCGUUAUCCGGAUUUAUUGGGUUUAAAGGGAGCGUAGAUGGGUUGUUAAGUCAGUUGUGAAAGUUUGCGGCUCAACCGUAAAAUUGCAAUUGAUACUGGCAGUCUUGAGUACAGUUGAGGUAGGCGGAAUUCGUGGUGUAGCGGUGAAAGGCUUAGAUAUCACGAAGAACCCCGAUUGCGAAGGCAGCUUACUAAACUGUGACUGACAUUGAUGCUCGAAAGUGUGGGUAUCAAACAGGAUUAGAUACCCGAGUAGUC
Molecule: ribosomal RNA, 460 nt
Filed under: uncultured bacterium
Lineage: Bacteria
Description: partial 16S ribosomal RNA
Rfam family: Bacterial small subunit ribosomal RNA
Source: RNAcentral